Molecule: long non-coding RNA, 528 nt
Organism: Anneissia japonica
Lineage: Eukaryota; Metazoa; Echinodermata; Crinoidea; Comatulida; Comatulidae
Exons: 3
Source: RefSeq, a predicted model, not a curated record
GGAAUGCCGCAUUAGAAAAAGAAUACUGAUGAAUUGUUUUUUAUACCACUCCAGGUGGCGUUUUACAUGUAAACAUUACUCAAUGGACACGAAGGAGACUUUACAAUUAAUAAAAAAUCUCAAGACAGACAGUGUAUAUUUAAUUUGGACUUAAUUGGAAAUAUGCUGGACUCCGGUCAAAUGGGCGUUCCUGAUGCUCAUUACGUGAUGUAGAAGCCACAACUAUCAGAAAAGAAAGUCCGGACUCAUCAAGCUCCUUACAAAAAAAAAAUGAAAUGAAUUAAAAUAUAGUGUAAAUUUUAUUUUUAAAAUGUUUUUCUAGUUCUCUGCAAUAAUCUAAAAAAUAAUGUUAGCAAUAUGUAGUAAUUCUUGUAGGCUUAUGUUUAUUAAUAUUGUAUUAUUACUGCUAAUGUUUAUCUUAUUAAUAGAAAAAGUAACCCGUUUCUUGUAAAGAAUAUUGACAUGUAACAUAAUAACAUUUUGAGGAUUAAAAUCAGAUUUAUUGAUUUUUACCGGAUGUACAUGAUA